Molecule: ribosomal RNA, 435 nt
Filed under: uncultured Actinomycetes bacterium
Lineage: Bacteria; Bacillati; Actinomycetota; Actinomycetes
Description: bacterial SSU rRNA
Rfam family: Bacterial small subunit ribosomal RNA
Source: RNAcentral
AUGUGGAUUAAUUCGAUGCAACGCGAAGAACCUUACCUGGGUUUGACAUGCACCAGACGCUGCCAGAGAUGGUAGUUCCCUUGUGGUUGGUGUGCAGGUGGUGCAUGGCUGUCGUCAGCUCGUGUCGUGAGAUGUUGGGUUAAGUCCCGCAACGAGCGCAACCCUCGUUCCAUGUUGCCAGCGCGUGAUGGCGGGGACUCAUGGGAGACUGCCGGGGUCAACUCGGAGGAAGGUGGGGAUGACGUCAAGUCAUCAUGCCCCUUAUGUCCAGGGCUUCACACAUGCUACAAUGGCCAGUACAGAGGGCUGCGAGACCGUGAGGUGGAGCGAAUCCCUUAAAGCUGGUCUCAGUUCGGAUCGGGGUCUGCAACUCGACCCCGUGAAGUUGGAGUCGCUAGUAAUCGCAGAUCAGCAACGCUGCGGUGAAUACGUUCC